This 497-nucleotide ribosomal RNA is filed under the name uncultured bacterium. Its description in RNAcentral is "partial 16S ribosomal RNA". It matches the Rfam family "Bacterial small subunit ribosomal RNA", at positions 28 to 507 of the family's 1533-position model. The record is from RNAcentral.
GACGAACGCUGGCGGCGUGCCUAAUACAUGCAAGUCGAGCGCUGAAGGUUGGUUCUUGUACCAACUGGAUGAGCAGCAGACGGGUGAUUCACGCGUGUGGAAUCUGCCUUUGAGCGGGGGAUAACAUUACGAAACGAAUUCUAAUACCGUAUAAAAACUUGAAACACAAGGUUCAAGUUUGAAAGAUGCAAUUGCAUCACUCAAAGAUGAUCCCGCGUUUGAUUAGCUAGUUGGUGAGGUAAAGGCUAACCAAGGCGAAGGUACAUAGCCGACCUGAUAGGGUGAGCGGCCAAAAUGGGAAUGGGAAACGGCCCAAAAACCUAAGGGAGGCAGCAGGAGGGAAACUUCGGCAAAGGAAGAAAGUCUGAACGAGCAACGCCGGGGGAGUGAAGAAGGGUGUCGGGUCGGAAAAGUCUGUUGGGAGGGAAGAAAGUUGGUGAGAGUGGAAAGCUCAUAAAGUGACGGUAACUACAGAGAAAGGAACGGCUAACUACGUG